CCAAGUUCGAAAAAUAGAUAGUUUGAGCUCUGAUACCAAUAUUACACAAAUAUUACUCUUCAAAGAUUCAAAUCAUACAAACCUUUCAGAGAAGUUUACAGCUAGAACUAGAACACAAAAAAUAUCAAGAUAUCUCAAAAUGGGCUCAGAUUAUAUUGUACCAUUUUGUAUCCUAGUAGCCACAAACCCAGAUCCUUUAACGACUCAUUGAAGUUGCUUCUAUGGAUAUCAAAAGACCUCAACCCAGAUCUCGAACAAUCUUCUCACAUGGAUUCACUUAGAAUACUGCGCAAAACUUCCAAUCAAAGGUUGAAGUCGAAGGGGACAAGACGAACAGAAGACAGGAAGAAAAUCCUAGUCUCUCCAAAGAAAAUCACACAGUUGGAUUGAUUAGGGCAAUAAUAGAAGCCCCUAUUUAUACCCCUAACCACCACCACUGAAGUUGCAUUAUGGAACACAAUAUCAGCCGUUUACGUUGGUUCAAGAUUUUGGAGCCAACUCAUGAAAUUAUCAUGCAAUAGUUUACCAAUCCACUGGAAUUCGGAACCCAAGUAAAAGUCAUUGAAGACGCAACUACUACAUGCAAAAGCCAAGGAUAAAAGGUAUAACUUCCCAAAAGAUUAAAUAAAGUUAUAUAAAGAAAGAUUUAUGAUGAAGGUACAUAAAAGGUGAUGUUUCUACACGAUAAAUGUGCAUCUUUCCAAGUGCUCAAAUCCCAUAAGUUCUAAAUUCUUAAAACUUGAAAGCUUAGUAUAAAUUAAUUAAGACCAUUGGAAAAUGUAGAUAUUUCUUCCAAGAAGUGAACCACAAAAGGGUUAAAACUUUG
RNAcentral lists this long non-coding RNA (826 nucleotides) under Olea europaea subsp. europaea. The record is from RNAcentral. Lineage: Eukaryota; Viridiplantae; Streptophyta; Magnoliopsida; Lamiales; Oleaceae.